RNAcentral lists this ribosomal RNA (889 nucleotides) under Pseudomonas sp. P-W-4. RNAcentral's name for it is "bacterial SSU rRNA". It matches the Rfam family "Bacterial small subunit ribosomal RNA", at positions 55 to 942 of the family's 1533-position model. The record is from RNAcentral. Lineage: Bacteria; Pseudomonadati; Pseudomonadota; Gammaproteobacteria; Pseudomonadales; Pseudomonadaceae.
CUGCAGUCGAGCGGUAGAGAGAAGCUUGCUUCUCUUGAGAGCGGCGGACGGGUGAGUAAUGCCUAGGAAUCUGCCUGGUAGUGGGGGAUAACGUUCGGAAACGGACGCUAAUACCGCAUACGUCCUACGGGAGAAAGCAGGGGACCUUCGGGCCUUGCGCUAUCAGAUGAGCCUAGGUCGGAUUAGCUAGUUGGUGGGGUAAUGGCUCACCAAGGCGACGAUCCGUAACUGGUCUGAGAGGAUGAUCAGUCACACUGGAACUGAGACACGGUCCAGACUCCUACGGGAGGCAGCAGUGGGGAAUAUUGGACAAUGGGCGAAAGCCUGAUCCAGCCAUGCCGCGUGUGUGAAGAAGGUCUUCGGAUUGUAAAGCACUUUAAGUUGGGAGGAAGGGCAGUAAAUUAAUACUUUGCUGUUUUGACGUUACCGACAGAAUAAGCACCGGCUAACUCUGUGCCAGCAGCCGCGGUAAUACAGAGGGUGCAAGCGUUAAUCGGAAUUACUGGGCGUAAAGCGCGCGUAGGUGGUUAGUUAAGUUGGAUGUGAAAUCCCCGGGCUCAACCUGGGAACUGCAUUCAAAACUGACUGACUAGAGUAUGGUAGAGGGUGGUGGAAUUUCCUGUGUAGCGGUGAAAUGCGUAGAUAUAGGAAGGAACACCAGUGGCGAAGGCGACCACCUGGACUGAUACUGACACUGAGGUGCGAAAGCGUGGGGAGCAAACAGGAUUAGAUACCCUGGUAGUCCACGCCGUAAACGAUGUCAACUAGCCGUUGGGAGCCUUGAGCUCUUAGUGGCGCAGCUAACGCAUUAAGUUGACCGCCUGGGGAGUACGGCCGCAAGGUAAAACUCAAAUGAUUGACGGGGGCCCGCACAAGCGGUGGAGCAUGU